CUGGGCUCGAGCCGCGGCUGGGGGAGCAGUCGUCCCGCCGCCCUCUCUCUCUCCGCCGCCCGAGGCUGGCCGCCGGCCCGUCCUCCACCGGGGGGCCCUCGGUCCGGAGCGCUUCGCCGGCGUUCCCGGCCGGGGGGUUUCUCGGCCCCGGGGGGCGUGUCCGACGCCCGCGCCGGAAGGCGGGCCGGAGGAGGUUGGAUACGGCGGUCGGCGGCGGCGACUCUGGACGNGNGCCGGGCCCUUCUCGCGGAUCUCCCCAGCUACGGCGCCCGUCGGGUACCCGUUCGMGCGGGCCCCGCGGGUCGCCCGUUGGGCCUAGCAGCUGACUUAGA
Molecule: ribosomal RNA, 332 nt
Filed under: Eleginops maclovinus (Patagonian blennie)
Lineage: Eukaryota; Metazoa; Chordata; Actinopteri; Perciformes; Eleginopidae
Description: partial 28S ribosomal RNA
Source: RNAcentral